AACCAGUAACCUGAGUGGCAAGCAAGUCUUGAUUAGAACCAAAGAGCAGGGAAACCGUCAGAGAAGCAAACGGCAGCACCAGGGGAAGAUCUGGGAUUUUCGGCCCCAAGGGGCACCCCAGAGGAGGGAAAAACCCCCUCUCUGGGGCUGGGUUGAGAAACUACUUGUGUGAAUAAUGAGUUGAGAUGGACUUGACCAAGUGCCAAGCAGUAGCAGGCGUCCUGGAGACUGGAGACCGGCCGCGGAGUGGAAUCUAUGUCUUAGCCUAAGAUGCUCAGACAGGUCCGAGCCUUGUCCCCUGCUCAGGGGUGCGCCAGUGCCUGCAGGUGGCCACGUUCCUGCCCUUCAUGUGACCCUGAAGUGCCCCAGAGAUGACGUCUGUUCUCGGAAGGGGAGGCUCAGUGAAACUCCACUCCCUUUGCUUCCAGGAGCAGCAGCAACUAUGCUUGCACACAGCAAAAAGCCAGAGUUGCCUCAGUUUGGAGGUCAUGUGGCCAGGCUUCCUGCAGCCGGAUCGUGACUCAGCUCGAGAAGGCUCGGGCUGCACCCCACCCACCACAGCCCUCAGAGGCCAGCCACGUCGCGCCUCUGCCCGCGCUGCACGCCCAGCACAUGGUUCUGCCCACCCCCGCAGCUGGCCUCCUGGGGACACUUCACCCCUGCCCCCAGGAGGUGACGGACAGGCUGGGCGCCGGCACAGCCAACUCGGGCUGCAUAGCUGGAGAAGUGAUAGCCAUCAAGCACUCCGGGACGGGGAAGUCUUGGGGCUGGCAGGCUGCCACCUCUUCUGGGAUUCUGACACCCUAAUGCACAAUGGGGACCCUACAAACCCAUGUGGGGGCAGGAGUGCUGCGUCUCAGCCUGUGGUCAGCCCGUAAUGGAGACAUUUUAAAAUAUGCAACAUGAAAGAGAAGUUCUGGGUAGGCCCUGCUAAGAGAGAGGCCCCAGAAACUCUGGAAGGGCACCUGAGACUGCCCUGAAUGUGCCCAGAGGACAGCGAGCAGGGCCCCAGCUUCAGGGCCCCCUUCCCAGAGCUUGGACUUGCCCUGCUCUCAGGAUAGGGCUGAGCCCGAACCUGCCUGUUCUGAUCACCCGAGGAGAGGGUCAGAGAGCCUGAAGGCAAGUGAGUGGGGGUAGGGUCUGCCCAUCCCAUCCAGACCCCACCCGCACCCGCCGGGGGUGCUUCCCAACAGCUCUGGCUGCAUAUCCUGUGUUCUAGCCCAGCUUGGGUGAGCCCCAACCAGGUGGCACUGGCAGACUCUCCAGAGACAGCAGGAAGGGGAGUCGGGUCCCAGAGGCCACGCCUUCCCCUGCACAAACAGGAGAGGCCCACUCUGGGACCUAGGAAGCCUCCUGUGACCCUGGUGGCCCCAGCUGACCCUUGGGAAGGCCUCCCGCAGAUGCAGCCCACACCUGCUCAGGGGAGCCCAGAGGGACGAGGCCAGCAGGAACCCCAAGUCAGGGGUGAUGGCUGCCUCUCCCACAGAAGGAUGGGUGGGGAUGCUGGAACCCUCUGUGUUCUGUUCAGUGGCUUGGUCCACAGGAGCAGGCUGCAUUCUGGCUAAAAGCCUGGAACCAGCUGCACAGGGUGCUCUGCAGACCCCACCUCCAGAGCGUCCAGCCACCUGCUCCAGAAGCAGCAGGCACCGCCACCCUGAGCUGUCCAGCCUCAGGGGUCCCCUGGGAUGUCUGAUGGGCCUCAGCCCAGGAGGCAUCGAGGGCCCUACAGAGGAGGCCAGGAUCGGUGCCCUGAUCCUUGGGGCUGCGCUGGGUCCAUGAGGCUGAGAGGCGGGGAAGGGCAAUGGCUGAGGGGCUGCCCCAGGAAGGGGCCGGCCGCCCUGCUGCAACCUGCCCACCACUACCCUGAGUCUAAGCCCUCUUUGUUGGUGAGCAGCGUUCCCUUGCACCAACCCUAAUCCAGCUCUAAUUAGAGGGAGAACGAGAGCUCUGAAUGAUGGCGUGGCUGGAGGGGGAGCCCGAGGGGUGCUCACCUGCUGGCCCAGCAGGGGCGCCUCCUCGGCUUGUGGAAUGUGGCUUUGAGGGCUGUGGCCCCUCCAGACAGGAACCUGGGUGCCUGGGGGCACCUCUGCAGGCUCGGCACCAGACAGAAGGGGAGGAAGGGGUGAGUGUGGCUGGGGGACGGCACAGGGUCAGGUUACAUGGCCGUGGGGUCAGAAAGAGGACAGCUGCCACAUGCCAGCGAUGGGGCCCCAGAGGUGCUCUGCCCAGGCUGCCAGGAGAGGGUCUCCUCCAGCAGGAAAACUGGCUGGGCAGUGGAGGUGCAGCCAGCUUCUGGAGGCACGAGUUGGGGAGGGGGCAGUAGAGUAGGGGAGGGGUCACAAGCAGGGUCUUGUCCAUGUCACCUCAGCCUAGCCCACCUGCAGCACGCAUGCGAUGCUCUUGGCCACUGCGGGUAAGCGGGGCUGCCCUCUUGCUAUCUCAUUGCCCCUGGCCAGGUACCCUGGCUGCACCUGUCCUGUUCUGAUGGCUUCUGUGCCAUCUCAUUCGCUGCUGUGUGACAUCGGGUAAGUUCUCUAACCUCUCUGUGCCCGUUCAUCUGAAAAAUGGGCACAAUCGGAGGAUCAGACAAGAUGUCCAGGGCUGUCAAAUGCUCAGCGCAGAGCUCAAGGCGGGCUCUUCCUUCUCAGAGCCAGGCUGUUCCAUGAACCUCUGCAGUGUGAGCCCGCAGGACGAGGGGGUGGUGGCCAGCCAUGCAGAUGUCCGUCCCAUGGGGGCAGCCUUUGGGGAGAGCCCCCUCCAGGUCCUGAAUUUGCUUCCUUCGGUGAAUUAGCAAUUUGGCACAGAAAUAGCCGGUGCUUCGUAGAUCUACAUGGUGAAGCUUCCGAACCUUUAAGGACUUUGGGCAGCCACCAAGCUGUCCCUGAGCUUCUCAGGUAAGCCCUCACACAGUGAGUGGUCAGCCUGGCACAGGCAGUCAAGGAUUCCACAGUCUAGAAGCCAUGGAUAAAGUGGUAACAGGGAAGAAGGGGUGCAGAGGGGCUGGGUGGACACUCAGUGCCCUUGCUAAGGUGGUCUCCGAAGCCCGAGUGAAGGCCAGGACCACCCCCAGCUCUCGCCCCUGUGACUGCCCAGCCUGGAGUCUGACCUAACCCAUCAAAGUUCGUGUUGCUGAAAACUCCUCUUCAGGAAGUACCAGGAGCAGGGUCCUGAGCUGCGAGGACCCCGCCAUGCAGGAUCCAGACUCAGGGUCGAGAAACCAGGCCCUGACCAGUGUGCUGGACUCUGGGGGAGCUGGGAGCCUGGGCAAGCGUUCACGGUGGAUAACUGUGUUCAGAUGCUGUGCACUGUCAUUUAAACACUUUUAAAAGAAAGCCAGUUAAUCUUCGACAAAUGAGGCAAGAAUAUAAAAUGAUAAAAAGACAGUCUUUUCAGCAAGUGGUGCUGGGAAAACUAAACAGCUGCCUGCAAAUCAAUGAAACCGGAAUGCACCCUCACACCAUGCACAAAAGUAAACUCAAAAUGACUUAAAGACUUCAACAUAAGGCAAGACACCAUCAAACUCCUGGAAGAGAACACGGGCAAAACAUUCUCUGACAUCAACCUUACAAAUGUUUUCUCACGUCAGUCUCCCAAGGCAACAGAAAUAAAAGCAAAAAUAAACCAAUGGGACAUAAUCAAACUGACAAGCUUUUGCACAGCAAAGGAAACCAUUAAAAAAAAAUGAAAAGAUAACUUACAGAAUGGGAGAAAAUAGUUUCAAACGAUGUAACUGACAAGGGCUUAAUCUCUAGAAUAUACAAACAACUUGUACAGCUCCACAGCAAAAAAGCCAACAACACAAUCGAAAAAUGGCCAAAAGACCUGACUAGACAUUUCUCCAGAGAAGAUACACAGAUGGCCAACAGACACAUGAAAAAAUGCUCAGCACCACUGAUCACGAGAGAAAUGCAACUCAAAACUACCCCUCGCACCAGUCAGAAUGGCCAUCAUUAAUGAGUCCACAAAUGACAGAUGCAGGGGGGUGUGGAGGAAAGGGAUCCCUCCUGCACUGCUGGUGGGAAUGUAGGCUGGUGCAGCCACUGUGGAGGACAGUAUGGAGGUACCCCAACAAAACUAAAUGUAGAAUGAUCUUUUGACCCAGCCAUCCCGCCCUUGGCAUAUAUCCAGACAAAACUUUCCUUGAAAAAGACAGAUGGCCUGCUAUGUUCAUUGCAGCACUAGUCACAGCAGCCAAGACAUGGAAAUAACCUGAAUGUCCUUAGACAGAUGAAUGGAUUAAGAAGAUGUUACAUAGGAGUUCCCAUCGUGGCGCAGUGGAAACGAGUCUGACUAGGAACCAUGAGGUCGCGGGUCCAAUCCCUGGUCUUGCUCAGUGGGUUAAGGAUCUGGCCUUGCCAUGAGCUGUGGGUCACAGAUGUGCUUGGAUCUGGCAUUGCUGUGGCUCUGGGGUAGGGCGGCAGCUACAACUCUGAUUAGACCCUUAGCCUGGGAACUUCCAUAUGCACUGGGUGCAGCCCUAAAAAAAAAAAAAGGCAAAAAAAAAAA
This 4506-nucleotide long non-coding RNA is filed under the name Sus scrofa (pig). RNAcentral describes it as "lncRNA (ENSSSCG00065017532.1)". The record is from RNAcentral. Lineage: Eukaryota; Metazoa; Chordata; Mammalia; Artiodactyla; Suidae.